Molecule: long non-coding RNA, 898 nt
Organism: Monomorium pharaonis (pharaoh ant)
Lineage: Eukaryota; Metazoa; Arthropoda; Insecta; Hymenoptera; Formicidae
Exons: 2
Source: RefSeq, a predicted model, not a curated record
GAAUGGUGGCGCGCGGGCCGGCGGGCGCCCAAUCCCCUCGCCUUCCCCCCUUUCGAGAAUGUUGAUGUGGAGAUCGGCUGCGCGCGCACCGUUUCCGGCGUACGUGGUCGUUGCGCGAGAGUCGGCGUCGUUCACCGGCGCGAAUUCGAGAAUUUUCCCAGGACGCGCGACGUGCAAUCGGUAGGCCUAUUCUGUAACUCUUAACGGACAGUUCAGUAUCGUUAUACUGUCGCUCAGCCCUUUCGAUAUUUCGAGAAUCGCAAUAUCGCGUACUCACGUAGACUUGGGCGAAAUCAGUUGCGAAAUACGUUGCGGAUUGUAAGGUCGUGUUCGAACGCGCGAACUCCGUGUUUUCCGCGAUUAUUACUGUCGUUCCAGAAACGAGACUUAAUUUGCUCACACGGGCUCGUCGCGAAUAUCUUGUCAUGUGUCGAACGUUCGUAUCGUCACGUACGACACUGAAUCCGUGCGAACGCUUAGCAGCGCGAGAACUUUAGGAUCUCGUCAAAGAGGAUACAAUGUUGAAAAUGCAACGGAAGACAAGCGGGAAAUUGAUGGUAGGCAGAAGGAUACCGGGGAAAAUGCAUAUUAGGAGAGGAGUCUCGUCGAGAAAAUCGCUGAUCAGGGUCUUCGGCCAUUUUUGCUUUUCGUCGAUAAGGACGACAUGUCUCUCCUGUCGGUAAGUCGGCUACUCAUUUUCUAAUUACCAUCAGUACGGCGGUCCGCGUAUGUGUAAUCGCCGUUGCACUAGAUGGCAGCACUAGAUAUUUGUAAGCGCGAUAUUCACAUACUGCCGCGGAGCAAAAUACAUAUACAUGUAUUAAAAUUAGGACGAUACGAAGAGUUUUGCAAUUGUGAAGUGGCAAACGAUUUUAUAUAAAAUCUUUGUAAACAGAAA